RNAcentral lists this ribosomal RNA (919 nucleotides) under Gerhardtia sp. RNAcentral describes it as "partial 28S ribosomal RNA". It matches the Rfam family "Eukaryotic large subunit ribosomal RNA", at positions 1 to 889 of the family's 3401-position model. Lineage: Eukaryota; Fungi; Basidiomycota; Agaricomycetes; Agaricales; Lyophyllaceae. The record is from RNAcentral.
UUUUGACUAAUUUGACCUCAAAUCAGGUAGGACUACCCGCUGAACUUAAGCAUAUCAAUAAGCGGAGGAAAAGAAACUAACAAGGAUUCCCCUAGUAACUGCGAGUGAAGAGGGAAAAGCUCAAAUUUAAAAUCUGGUAGUCUCUGGCUGCCCGAGUUGUAAUCUAGAGAAGCAUUAUCCGCGCCGGACCAUGUACAAGUUUUCCUGGAAUGGAGCGUCAUAGAGGGUGAGAAUCCCGUCUUUGACAUGGGCUACCGGGGCUUUGUGAUGUGCUCUCCAAGAGUCGAGUUGUUUGGGAAUGCAGCUCUAAAUGGGUGGUAAAUUCCAUCUAAAGCUAAAUAUUGGCGAGAGACCGAUAGCGAACAAGUACCGUGAGGGAAAGAUGAAAAGAACUUUGGAAAGAGAGUUAAACAGUACGUGAAAUUGUUGAAAGGGAAACGCUUGAAGUCAGUCGCGUCUGCCAGGAAUCAACCUUGCAUUUUUGCUGGGUGUACUUUCUGGUUGGACGGGUCAGCAUCAAUUUUGAUCAGUGGAAAAAGUUCAGAGGAAUGUGGCACCUUCGGGUGUGUUAUAGCCUUUGUUCGUAUACAUUGAUUGGGAUUGAGGAACUCAGCAUGCCGYAAGGCYGGGUCUUUUGACUACGUUCAUGCUUAGGAUGCUGGCAUAAUGGCUUUAAUYGACCCGUCUUGAAACACGGACCAAGGAGUCUAACAUGCCCGCGAGUGUUUGGGUGGAAAACCCAGACGCGUAAUGAAAGUGAAGGUUGAGAUCCCUGUCGUGGGGAGCAUCGACGCCCGGACCAGAACUUCUGUGACGGAUCCGCGGUAGAGCGUGUAUGUUGGGACCCGAAAGAUGGUGAACUAUGCCUGAAUAGGGUGAAGCCAGAGGAAACUCUGGUGGAGGCUCGUAGCGAUUCUGA